Molecule: ribosomal RNA, 544 nt
Filed under: uncultured bacterium
Lineage: Bacteria
Description: bacterial SSU rRNA
Rfam family: Bacterial small subunit ribosomal RNA
Source: RNAcentral
AAUAGAUACCCGGGUAGUCCACGCCGUAAACGAUGAGUGCUAAGUGUUAGGGGGUUUCCGCCCCUUAGUGCUGCAGCUAACGCAUUAAGCACUCCGCCUGGGGAGUACGGUCGCAAGACUGAAACUCAAAGGAAUUGACGGGGGCCCGCACAAGCGGUGGAGCAUGUGGUUUAAUUCGAAGCAACGCGAAGAACCUUACCAGGUCUUGACAUCCCACUGACCGCUAUGGGGACAUAGCUUUCCCUUCGGGGACAGUGGUGACAGGUGGUGCAUGGUUGUCGUCAGCUCGUGUCGUGAGAUGUUGGGUUAAGUCCCGCAACGAGCGCAACCCUUGAUCUUAGUUGCCAUCAUUUAGUUGGGCACUCUAAGGUGACUGCCGGUGACAAACCGGAGGAAGGUGGGGAUGACGUCAAAUCAUCAUGCCCCUUAUGACCUGGGCUACACACGUGCUACAAUGGACGGUACAAACGGUUGCCAACCCGCGAGGGGGAGCUAAUCCGAUAAAACCGUUCUCAGUUCGGAUUGUAGGCUGCAACUCGCCUAC